UGGGGAAUCUUGCACAAUGGGGGAAACCCUGAUGCAGCGACGCCGCGUGAACGAUGAAGCCCUUCGGGGUGUAAAGUUCUUUCGACGGGAACGAUAAUGACGGUACCCGGAGAAGAAGCUGCGGCUAACUACGUGCCAGCAGCCGCGGUAAUACGUAGGCAGCGAGCGUUGUUCGGAGUUACUGGCGUAAAGAGUGCGUAGGCGGUUGAUCAAGUUUGGUGUGAAAUCUCCCGGCUCAACUGGGAGGGUGCGCCGAAAACUGGUCGACGUCGAGUAUGGGAGAGGAAAGCGGAAUUCCUGGUGUAGCGGUGAAAUGCGUAGAUAUCAGGAGGAACACCUGUGGUGUAGACAGCUUUCUGGACCAAAACUGACGCUGAGGCACGAAAGCGUGGGGAGCAAACA
Molecule: ribosomal RNA, 402 nt
Filed under: uncultured prokaryote
Description: bacterial SSU rRNA
Rfam family: Bacterial small subunit ribosomal RNA
Source: RNAcentral